RNAcentral lists this ribosomal RNA (550 nucleotides) under Rapipontonia paragalene. RNAcentral's name for it is "partial 16S ribosomal RNA". It matches the Rfam family "Bacterial large subunit ribosomal RNA", at positions 1808 to 2632 of the family's 2925-position model. Lineage: Eukaryota; Metazoa; Arthropoda; Malacostraca; Decapoda; Palaemonidae. The record is from RNAcentral.
UAAAAACAUGUCUGUGUGUAUGUGUACACAGUCUGACCUGCCCACUGAGUUUUAAAGGGCCGCGGUAAUUUGACCGUGCGAAGGUAGCAUAAUCAUUAGUCUUUUAAUUGAAGGCUGGAAUGAAUGGUUGGAUGAGGGAGAGACUGUCUUUCUCUUAGUUGUGAAUUUAACUUUUGAGUGAAAAGGCUCAAAUUGGGUGGUGGGACGAUAAGACCCUAUAAAACUUUAUACAGUAAGUAUUACUAAAUUAAUUAUAAAGUAGACAUUAUACGUACUAGCUGUAUUGUGCUGGGGCGGCAUAGAUAUAACAAUUAACUGUCUUAAUCAUAAAAUAACUCUAGUUAGUGUUUGAUCCUCUAGUAGGGAUUAGAAGUCUAAGUUACUUUAGGGAUAACAGCGUAAUUUUCUUUGAGAGUCCAAAUCGACAAGAUAAGUUGCGACCUCGAUGUUGAAUUAAAAUUUUUAGUUGGGUGCAGCCGCUCAUACUGUUAGGUCUGUUCGACCUUUAAAAUUUUACAUGAUUUGAGUUCAGACCGGCGUGAGCCAGGUG